Molecule: ribosomal RNA, 744 nt
Filed under: Pseudocercospora norchiensis
Lineage: Eukaryota; Fungi; Ascomycota; Dothideomycetes; Mycosphaerellales; Mycosphaerellaceae
Description: eukaryotic LSU rRNA
Rfam family: Eukaryotic large subunit ribosomal RNA
Source: RNAcentral
GAAGCGGCAACAGCUCAAAUUUGAAAUCUGGCGCAAGCCCGAGUUGUAAUUUGUAGAGGAUGCUUCUGGGUAGCGGCCGGUCUAAGUUCCUUGGAACAGGACGUCAUAGAGGGUGAGAAUCCCGUAUGUGACUGGCUUGCACCCUCCACGUAGCUCCUUCGACGAGUCGAGUUGUUUGGGAAUGCAGCUCUAAAUGGGAGGUAAAUUUCUUCUAAAGCUAAAUACCGGCCAGAGACCGAUAGCGCACAAGUAGAGUGAUCGAAAGAUGAAAAGCACUUUGGAAAGAGAGUUAAAAAGCACGUGAAAUUGUUGAAAGGGAAGCGCCCGCAACCAGACUUUGCGGCAGUGUUCGGCCGGUCUUCUGACCGGUUUACUCGCUGUCGUGAGGCCAUCAUCGUCUGGGACCGCUGGAUAAGACCUUAGGAAUGUAGCUUCCCUCGGGAAGUGUUAUAGCCUCUGGUGAUGCAGCGCGUCUCGGGCGAGGUCCGCGCUUCGGCAAGGAUGAUGGCGUAAUGGUUGUCGGCGGCCCGUCUUGAAACACGGACCAAGGAGUCUAACAUCUAUGCGAGUGUUCGGGUGUCAAACCCCUACGCGUAAUGAAAGUGAACGGAGGUGGGAACUUUUUGUGCACCAUCGACCGAUCCUGAUGUCCUCGGAUGGAUUUGAGUAAGAGCAUAGCUGUUGGGACCCGAAAGAUGGUGAACUAUGCCUGAAUAGGGUGAAGCCAGAGGAAACUCUGGUGGA